UACAGAGGGUGCGAGCGUUGUCCGGAAUCACUGGGCGUAAAGGGCGCGUAGGUGGCGACCCAAGUCAGUGGUGAAAGCUCGUCGCUUAACGACGAGUCGGCCACUGAUACUGGGUUGCUCGAGCACUGUAGAGGCUAAUGGAAUUCCGGGUGUAGCGGUGGAAUGCGUAGAGAUCCGGAAGAACACCGGUGGCGAAGGCGGUUAGCUGGGCAGUUGCUGACACUGAGGCGCGACAGCGUGGGGAGCAAACAGGAUUAGAUACCCCCGUAGUCC
This 273-nucleotide ribosomal RNA is filed under the name uncultured bacterium. RNAcentral describes it as "partial 16S ribosomal RNA". It matches the Rfam family "Bacterial small subunit ribosomal RNA", at positions 524 to 796 of the family's 1533-position model. The record is from RNAcentral.